RNAcentral lists this ribosomal RNA (473 nucleotides) under Streptococcus mutans. RNAcentral describes it as "bacterial SSU rRNA". It matches the Rfam family "Bacterial small subunit ribosomal RNA", at positions 28 to 475 of the family's 1533-position model. Lineage: Bacteria; Bacillati; Bacillota; Bacilli; Lactobacillales; Streptococcaceae. The record is from RNAcentral.
GACGAACGCUGGCGGCGUGCCUAAUACAUGCAGGUGGGACGCAAGGGAACACACUGUGCUUGCACACCGUGUUUUCUUGAGUCGCGAACGGGUGAGUAACGCGUAGGUAACCUGCCUAUUAGCGGGGGAUAACUAUUGGAAACGAUAGCUAAUACCGCAUAAUAUUAAUUAUUGCAUGAUAAUUGAUUGAAAGAUGCAAGCGCAUCACUAGUAGAUGGACCUGCGUUGUAUUAGCUAGUUGGUAAGGUAAGAGCUUACCAAGGCGACGAUACAUAGCCGACCUGAGAGGGUGAUCGGCCACACUGGGACUGAGACACGGCCCAGACUCCUACGGGAGGCAGCAGUAGGGAAUCUUCGGCAAUGGACGAAAGUCUGACCGAGCAACGCCGCGUGAGUGAAGAAGGUUUUCGGAUCGUAAAGCUCUGUUGUAAGUCAAGAACGUGUGUGAGAGUGGAAAGUUCACACAGUGACGG